AGUGAACGCUGGCGGUAGGCCUAACACAUGCAAGUCGAACGGCAGCACAGUAAGAGCUUGCUCUUACGGGUGGCGAGUGGCGGACGGGUGAGGAAUACAUCGGAAUCUACUUUUUCGUGGGGGAUAACGUAGGGAAACUUACGCUAAUACCGCAUACGACCUACGGGUGAAAGCAGGGGAUCUUCGGACCUUGCGCGAUUGUAUUAGCCGAUGUCGGAUUAGCUAGUUGGCGGGGUAAAGGCCCACCAAGGCGACGAUCCGUAGCUGGUCUGAGAGGAUGAUCAGCCACACUGGAACUGAGACACGGUCCAGACUCCUACGGGAGGCAGCAGUGGGGAAUAUUGGACAAUGGGCGCAAGCCUGACCCAGCCAUACCGCGUGGGUGAAGAAGGCCUUCGGGUUGUAAAGCCCUUUUGUUGGGGAAGAAAAGCAGCAGGUUAAAACCCCCCUGUUCUGACGGUACCCAAAGAAAAAGCAACGGCUAACUUCGUG
RNAcentral lists this ribosomal RNA (492 nucleotides) under uncultured bacterium. RNAcentral describes it as "partial 16S ribosomal RNA". It matches the Rfam family "Bacterial small subunit ribosomal RNA", at positions 29 to 507 of the family's 1533-position model. The record is from RNAcentral.